Molecule: ribosomal RNA, 484 nt
Filed under: uncultured bacterium
Lineage: Bacteria
Description: partial 16S ribosomal RNA
Rfam family: Bacterial small subunit ribosomal RNA
Source: RNAcentral
AUUGAACGCUGGCGGCAUGCUUUACACAUGCAAGUCGAACGGCAGCGCGGGCUUCGGCCUGGCGGCGAGUGGCGAACGGGUGAGUAAUACAUCGGAACGUGCCCAGUAGUGGGGGAUAGCUCGGCGAAAGCGGGAUUAAUACCGAAUACGACCUGAGGGUGAAAGCGGGGGUUCUUGGGACCUCGCGCUAUUGGAGCGGCCGAUGGCAGAUUAGCUAGUUGGUGGGGUAAAGGCCUACCAAGGCGACGAUCUGUAGCUGGUCUGAGAGGACGACCAGCCACACUGGGACUGAGACACGGCCCAGACUCCUACGGGAGGCAGCAGUGGGGAAUUUUGGACAAUGGGCGAAAGCCUGAUCCAGCAAUGCCGCGUGUGUGAUGAAGGCCUUCGGGUUGUAAAGCACUUUUGGCGGGAACGAAAAGGACUGUGCCAAUACCACGGUUCGAUGACGGUACCCGCAGAAUAAGCACCGGCUAACUACGUG